AUCAUAUUAAUCUAACAGAAGCUAACAUUUAGUUACUUGAGAAACUAAUUCUGAUCUAACAAACAUAACUCAAAACAGAAAUAAAAGAAACAACAAUGAAACAUUUAAACAGAUCUAAAUGAAAACUGAAGCAUUCACCUAAUGCAAACAAAAAAUUAAAGGAACUGAACCUUUGAUAUAAAUAUUUUGCCAAUAAAAUGAGAAGACAACCUUCUUCAUGAAAUGGAUACAGCUCAACAGUCGUUACUCCAAAACGAAAUAAAAUCAAGCAGCACCAUACGGACUAGAGGGAGACCCAAACGAAAAUCCGGACUAAGACUUCGACCGACGACAAAUCCAAACGCAACUGUUCUGAUUUCUUUUAACUAAUUUCAGCAAAAUUGUUGGCUCGUUUUGGGUGGUGUUAGAGGUGGAAUUCAUGGCUGUUUGCAACUGGUUUUUGCUGCUAUUUCAGAGGUCAUUUUAACUGAAAAACGGAACUAUUUUCAAGCUUGUUUUGAUGCGUUUUUUAACUUAUUUUGAUGGCUGAAAUACUGGAGCUUCAAGGCUUGUUUUCAUGAAUAUUUGGAUCUGGUUUAUUAGGUGGCUUUUGGGGCUGAAAUUUUUGGUUUAACAAAAUAGUAAUGAAGGUGAAACCUAUGGGUCUUUCAUGGUUAUUCGGUAAGGAAGAUGAAGUUGUUUUGAGGAAGAUGAUGGUCCUUUUUCUUCUUUUUUCUUUUAUCUUUUUUACAUUUUG
RNAcentral lists this long non-coding RNA (736 nucleotides) under Nicotiana benthamiana. Its description in RNAcentral is "long non-coding RNA (NBEN_LNC042592)". The record is from RNAcentral. Lineage: Eukaryota; Viridiplantae; Streptophyta; Magnoliopsida; Solanales; Solanaceae.